RNAcentral lists this ribosomal RNA (747 nucleotides) under uncultured fungus. RNAcentral describes it as "eukaryotic LSU rRNA". The stretch from base 186 to 340 matches the Rfam family "5.8S ribosomal RNA". Lineage: Eukaryota; Fungi. The record is from RNAcentral.
CGGGUUGUUGCUGGCCCCCAAACCGGGCACGUGCACGCCCUGUUUACGCAUCCACUCACACCUGUGCACCCUCUGUAGUUCUGUGGACCGGGAGACGUCGUCUUCCUUCCGUGGCUCUACGUCUUUACACACACGCCGUAGCGAAGUCUCAUGGAAUGUUUUUCGCGUUUAACGCAAUACAAUACAACUUUCAGCAACGGAUCUCUUGGCUCUCGCAUCGAUGAAGAACGCAGCGAAAUGCGAUAAGUAAUGUGAAUUGCAGAAUUCAGUGAAUCAUCGAAUCUUUGAACGCACCUUGCGCCCCUUGGUUAUUCCUCGGGGCAUGCCUGUUUGAGUAUCAUGAACACCUCAACUCUCGUGGUCUUCCAUGAUGAGCUUGGACUUUGGGGGUUUGCUGGCCCUGUGGCCRGCUCCUCUCAAACGAAUCAGCUUGCCAGUGUUUGGCGGCGUCACGGGUGUGAUAACCAUCUACGCUUGCGAUCGCCUGCCAGAUAACCCUCAGCGAUGAAGGUUCAUUGGGGCUYACAAAAGUCUCUCCACRGCGAGGACGAAUUUUGAAUGUUCGAUCUCAAAUCAGGUAGGACUACCCGCUGAACUUAAGCAUAUCAAUAAGCGGAGGAAAAGAAACUAACAAGGAUUCCCCUAGUAACUGCGAGUGAAGCGGGAAGAGCUCAAAUUUAAAAUCUGGCGUGCCUCCGGUCGUCCGAAUUGUAGUCUGGAGAAGCGUUUUCCGUGCUGGACCGUGUA